AUUGAACGCUGGCGGCAUGCCUUACACAUGCAAGUCGAACGGCAGCACGGGGGCAACCCUGGUGGCGAGUGGCGAACGGGUGAGUAAUACAUCGGAACGUGCCCGAUAGUGGGGGAUAGCCCGGCGAAAGCCGGAUUAAUACCGCAUGAGACCUAUGGGUGAAAGCGGGGGAGUCGCAAGACCUCGCGCUAUCGGAGUGGCCGAUGUCAGAUUAGGUUGUUGGUGAGGUAAAGGCUCACCAAGCCGACGAUCUGUAGCUGGUCUGAGAGGACGACCAGCCACACUGGGACUGAGACACGGCCCAGACUCCUACGGGAGGCAGCAGUGGGGAAUUUUGGACAAUGGGCGCAAGCCUGAUCCAGCCAUGCCGCGUGCGGGAAGAAGGCCU
Molecule: ribosomal RNA, 388 nt
Filed under: uncultured bacterium
Lineage: Bacteria
Description: bacterial SSU rRNA
Rfam family: Bacterial small subunit ribosomal RNA
Source: RNAcentral